UACACACCGCCCGUNACACCAUGGGAUGGGGUNCACCAGAAGUAGGUAGGCUAAACCGCAAAGGGAGGCCCGCUUACCACGGUACNCUUCAUGACUGGGGUG
This 102-nucleotide ribosomal RNA is filed under the name uncultured bacterium. RNAcentral's name for it is "partial 16S ribosomal RNA". The record is from RNAcentral.